UAUGGUCAAGUGAAUGCUAGAACACUGUAUAAAAAGACCCUUGGGUCCUGAUCCUGUUUAUCUCAGAUCUACUUGAUGCUUCAUCAGGGGAAACUUAAGCCACCAGAUUGGGAUUCUAGUGCUGACUGGUCCACCCUGAAUAUGAUAUUGGACAUUGGACUAUAACCUAUGAACUAUUUCUGAAAGAACUCUUUGCAACUACAAAGCUCACCAUCUCUACUAUGUAUCUGAACCACAAGAAUUAAACUCAUGUCUGGGAAGCAUCAAGAGCAACUGUUUGUCCAGUGAACUGCCAUGAUGAUCGUUUGUUAUUUGAGCCCUGAAUUUCCAUUGCUUCAUUUUGAUGUGGCUGCUCUAAGAGAACAUCCAGAAAUGUUCCUGAACGUCUAGCGUUGGGCAGAAAAUCAGCAAACAUAAACAUGAGAAAGUGACAGCACCAGACUGCUUGGCUGAGUUAUAGUUUUCUUUAAGCAUGUGUCCGACACAACAAAUUAGAAAUGGCCUGGAUGAAGGUAACGGAUUUAAUAUAUUUUUUCUAAUAGGGAUGACUUGAAGC
Molecule: non-coding RNA, 556 nt
Organism: Chrysemys picta bellii (western painted turtle)
Lineage: Eukaryota; Metazoa; Chordata; Testudines; Emydidae
Source: RefSeq, a predicted model, not a curated record